GGUUCUUUAUAUACUGUUUCCACAUCUAAUUCUGAUACUUUAUCUGCCUCUUCAACAUCUGAUUCUGGUUCUUUAUAUACUGUUUCCACAUCUAAUUCUGAUACUUUAUCUGCCUCUUCAACAUCUGAUUCUGGUUCUUUAUAUACUGUUUCCACAUCUGAUUCUGAUAUUUUAUCUGCCUCUUCAAUAUCUGAUUCUAACACUUCUUCAACUGCCUUUUCCAUAACUGAUUCUGAUACUUUAUCUGCCUCUUCAACAUCUGAUUCUGGUUCUUUAUAUACUGUUUCCACAUAUAAUUCUGAUACUUUAUCUGCCUCUUCAACAUCUGAUUCUGCUUCUUUAUAUACUGUUUCCACAUCUGAUUCUGAUAUUUUAUCUGCCUCUUCACCAUCUGAUUCUGGUUCUUUAUAUACUGUUUCCACAUCUGAUUCUGAUAUUUUAUCUGCCUCUUCAAUAUCUGAUUCUGGUUCUUUAUAUACUGUUUCCACAUCUAAUUCUGAUAUUUUAUCUGCUUCUUUAACAUCUGAUUCUGAUACUUUAUCUGCAUUUUCAACAUCUGAUUCUAACACUUCUUCAACUGCCUCUUCCAUAACUGAUUCUGAUAUUUUAUCUGCCUCUUCAACAUCUGAUUCUGAUAUUUUAUCUGCUUCUUUAACAUCUGAUUCUGAUACUUUAUCUUCUUCUUCUUCUUCUUCUUCAACGUCUGCUUCUGGUGUUUCUUUAGCAUCUUCAUCUGGUAUUGUUGUUUCUUUCUCUUCUAUAUCUGAUUCUAAUACCUUAUCGACCUUUCCAACGUCGGAUCCUAAUAAUAUUUUAUCUGCCUCAUCAACAUCCGAUUCUAAUGUUUUUUCAGUAUCCUCUUUAACAUCUGCUUCUAAAAUUUUCUUAUCUUCCUCUUUAACAUCUCCUUCGAAUAAUGACUUGUAUAUCGUAUCAACAUCUGAUACUAAUACUUCUUCAUCUUUCUCUUCAACACCAGUUGUUAGUACUUCAUCUACCUUUCCAACGUCGGAUCCUAACAAUGCUUCAUCUGCUUCUUCUUCUUUUGUUUCUUCUUUUG
This 1060-nucleotide long non-coding RNA is filed under the name Piliocolobus tephrosceles (Ugandan red Colobus). Its description in RNAcentral is "lncRNA (ENSPTEG00000012221.1)". The record is from RNAcentral. Lineage: Eukaryota; Metazoa; Chordata; Mammalia; Primates; Cercopithecidae.